UUUCUCAAUGGGGGAAACCCUGAAGGAGCGACGCCGCGUGGAGGAUGAAGGUCUUCGGGUUGUAAACUCCUGUCAUUUGGGAACAAUGCGCAAAUAUUAACUGUAUUUGCGUUGAUAGUACCAGAAGAGGAAGGGACGGCUAACUCUGUGCCAGCAGCCGCGGUAAUACAGAGGUCUCAAGCGUUGUUCGGAUUCAUUGGGCGUAAAGGGUGCGUAGGCGGCGCGGUAAGUCGGGUGUGAAAUCUCGGAGCUUAACUCCGAAACUGCAUUCGAUACUGCCGUGCUUGAGGACUGGAGAGGAGACUGGAAUUUACGGUGUAGCGGUGAAAUGCGUAGAUAUCGUAAGGAAGACCAGUGGCGAAGGCGGGUCUCUGGACAGUUCCUGACGCUGAGGCACGAAGGCCAGGGGAGCAAACGGGAUUAGAUACCCCGGUAGUCCUGGCAGUAAACGGUGCACGUUUGGUGUGGGAGGAUUCGACCCCUUCUGCGCCGGAGCUAACGCGUUAAACGUGCCGCCUGGGGAGUACGGUCGCAAGAUUAAAACUCAAAGAAAUUGACGGGGGCCGCACAAGCGGUGGAGUAUGUGGCUCAAUUCGAUGCAACGCGAAGAACCUUACCAGGCCUUGACAUGCAUUUCUAAGCGGGUGAAAGCCCGUGAGUCUCGAAAGAGAUAACUUGCACAGGUGCUGCAUGGCUGUCGUCAGCUCGUGUCGUGAGAUGUUGGGUUAAGUCCCGCAACGAGCGCAACCCCUGUGAACUGUUGCCACCGGCGCAAGCCGAGCACUCUGUUCAGACUGCCCUGUGAAACGGGGAGGAAGGUGGGGACGACGUCAAGUCAGUAUGGCCCUUACGGCCUGGGCUGCACUACGUACUACAAUGCCCAGUACAGAACGAUCCGAGACCGCGAGGUGGAGGAAACCUAUCAAAACUGGGCCCAGUUCGGAUUGGAGUCUGCAACUCGACUCCAUGAAGCCGGAAUCGCU
RNAcentral lists this ribosomal RNA (983 nucleotides) under uncultured Verrucomicrobiota bacterium. RNAcentral describes it as "bacterial SSU rRNA". It matches the Rfam family "Bacterial small subunit ribosomal RNA", at positions 364 to 1336 of the family's 1533-position model. Lineage: Bacteria; Pseudomonadati; Verrucomicrobiota. The record is from RNAcentral.